This 494-nucleotide ribosomal RNA is filed under the name uncultured bacterium. RNAcentral's name for it is "partial 16S ribosomal RNA". It matches the Rfam family "Bacterial small subunit ribosomal RNA", at positions 28 to 523 of the family's 1533-position model. The record is from RNAcentral.
GAUGAACGCUAGCAGCAGGCUUAACACAUGCAAGUCGAGGGGUAGAAGUCUUCGGACUUUGAGACCGGCGCACGGGUGCGUAACGCGUAUGCAAUCUGCCUUGUACAAAGGGAUAGCCCAGAGAAAUUUGGAUUAAUACCUUAUAGUAUAUAGAUGUGGCAUCACAAUUAUAUUAAAGAUUUAUCGGUACAAGAUGAGCAUGCGUCCCAUUAGCUAGUUGGUAUGGUAACGGCAUACCAAGGCAAUGAUGGGUAGGGGUCCUGAGAGGGAGAGCCCCCACACUGGUACUGAGACACGGACCAGACUACUACGGGAGGCAGCAGUGAGGAAUAUUGGUCAAUGGGCGCAAGCCUGAACCAGCCAUGCCGCGUGCAGGAUGAAGCAUCUAUGGUGUGUAAACUGCUUUUGUACGGGAAGAAACACCUCUUCGUGAAGAGGCUUGACGGUACCGUAAGAAUAAGGAUCGGCUAACUCCGUGCCAGCCGCCGCGGUAA